UGGGGAAUAUUGCGCAAUGGGCGAAAGCCUGACGCAGCGACGCCGCGUGAGGGAUGACGGCCUUCGGGUUGUAAACCUCUUUCAGCGCCGAAGAAGCGAAAGUGACGGUAGGCGCAGAAGAAGCACCGGCUAACUACGUGCCAGCAGCCGCGGUAAUACGUAGGGUGCAAGCGUUGUCCGGAUUUAUUGGGCGUAAAGAGCUCGUAGGCGGUCUGUCGCGUCGGAUGUGAAAACCCGGGGCUUAACUCCGGGCCUGCAUUCGAUACGGGCAGACUAGAGUGUGGUAGGGGAGACUGGAACUCCUGGUGUAGCGGUGAAAUGCGCAGAUAUCAGGAAGAACACCGGUGGCGAAGGCGGGUCUCUGGGCCACUACUGACGCUGAGGAGCGAAAGCGUGGGGAGCAAACA
This 407-nucleotide ribosomal RNA is filed under the name uncultured Actinomycetales bacterium. RNAcentral's name for it is "partial 16S ribosomal RNA". It matches the Rfam family "Bacterial small subunit ribosomal RNA", at positions 355 to 774 of the family's 1533-position model. Lineage: Bacteria; Bacillati; Actinomycetota; Actinomycetes; Actinomycetales. The record is from RNAcentral.